GGUAACGGUAGGGCAGGAGGCGGAAAAAUGAGGAGGGUUCGAGCGUAGAACGGAAUGACUGGGCGAAAAGUCGACAUAGUGGAGGACGGAGGUCAGGUGAGAAAGCCCCUGGCGCAAACUGGGAAUGGCUGUGGAGACUGCAUGUCAGGAGUACGGAAGAGGAAGGCGGAAUUCCCUGUGUAGCGUUGAAAUGCGUAGAUAUCGGGAGGAACAUCAGGGGCGAAGGCGGCCUUCUGGUCCAGUACUGACACUCAAGUGCGAAAGCGUGGGGAGCAAACAGGAUUAGAUACCCCGGUAGUC
RNAcentral lists this ribosomal RNA (300 nucleotides) under uncultured Enterococcus sp. Its description in RNAcentral is "bacterial SSU rRNA". The stretch from base 52 to 300 matches the Rfam family "Bacterial small subunit ribosomal RNA", at positions 547 to 795 of the family's 1533-position model. Lineage: Bacteria; Bacillati; Bacillota; Bacilli; Lactobacillales; Enterococcaceae. The record is from RNAcentral.